This 55-nucleotide transfer RNA is filed under the name Amblyomma gervaisi. Its description in RNAcentral is "tRNA-Ser". Lineage: Eukaryota; Metazoa; Arthropoda; Arachnida; Ixodida; Ixodidae. The record is from RNAcentral.
AGAUUAAAUAAAUUAAGCUUCUAACUUAAUAAUAAUGGAUUACCAUUUUAAUCUU